ACGCUGGCGGCAGGCCUAACACAUGCGGGUCGAGCGGUAGAGAGAAGCUUGCUUCUCUUGAGAGCGGCGGACGGGUGAGUAAUGCCUAGGAAUCUGCCUGGUAGUGGGGGAUAACGUUCGGAAACGGACGCUAAUACCGCAUACGUCCUACGGGAGAAAGCAGGGGACCUUCGGGCCUUGCGCUAUCAGAUGAGCCUAGGUCGGAUUAGCUAGUUGGUGGGGUAAUGGCUCACCAAGGCGACGAUCCGUAACUGGUCUGAGAGGAUGAUCAGUCACACUGGAACUGAGACACGGUCCAGACUCCUACGGGAGGCAGCAGUGGGGAAUAUUGGACAAUGGGCGAAAGCCUGAUCCAGCCAUGCCGCGUGUGUGAAGAAGGUCUUCGGAUUGUAAAGCACUUUAAGUUGGGAGGAAGGGUUGUAGAUUAAUACUCUGCAAUUUUGACGUUACCGACAGAAUAAGCACCGGCUAACUCUGUGCCAGCAGCCGCGGUAAUACAGAGGGUGCAAGCGUUAAUCGGAAUUACUGGGCGUAAAGCGCGCGUAGGUGGUUAGUUAAGUUGGAUGUGAAAUCCCCGGGCUCAACCUGGGAACUGCAUUCAAAACUGACUGACUAGAGUAUGGUAGAGGGUGGUGGAAUUUCCUGUGUAGCGGUGAAAUGCGUAGAUAUAGGAAGGAACACCAGUGGCGAAGGCGACCACCUGGACUGAUACUGGCGCUGAGGUGCGAAAGCGUGGGGAGCAAAC
Molecule: ribosomal RNA, 745 nt
Filed under: uncultured bacterium
Lineage: Bacteria
Description: bacterial SSU rRNA
Rfam family: Bacterial small subunit ribosomal RNA
Source: RNAcentral